UGCAUACUCCCUCCAUCCGGAAAUACUUGUCUUAAAAAUGGAUAUAUUUGAUAUAUCCAUAAUUAAAAUAAGUCUAGAUUCAUCCAUUCCUAGGACAAGUAUUUCCGAACGGAGGGAGUGCUUG
Molecule: non-coding RNA, 124 nt
Organism: Hordeum vulgare subsp. vulgare (domesticated barley)
Lineage: Eukaryota; Viridiplantae; Streptophyta; Magnoliopsida; Poales; Poaceae
Source: Rfam